UCAACGCUGGCGGCGUGCCUAAUACAUGCAAGUCGAGCGAACAGACGAGGAGCUUGCUCCUCUGACGUUAGCGGCGGACGGGUGAGUAACACGUGGAUAACCUACCUAUAAGACUGGGAUAACUUCGGGAAACCGGAGCUAAUACCGGAUAAUAUAUUGAACCGCAUGGUUCAAUAGUGAAAGACGGUUUUGCUGUCACUUAUAGAUGGAUCCGCGCCGCAUUAGCUAGUUGGUAAGGUAACGGCUUACCAAGGCAACGAUGCGUAGCCGACCUGAGAGGGUGAUCGGCCACACUGGAACUGAGACACGGUCCAGACUCCUACGGGAGGCAGCAGUAGGGAAUCUUCCGCAAUGGGCGAAAGCCUGACGGAGCAACGCCGCGUGAGUGAUGAAGGUCUUCGGAUCGUAAAACUCUGUUAUUAGGGAAGAACAAAUGUGUAAGUAACUAUGCACGUCUUGACGGUACCUAAUCAGAAAGCCACGGCUAACUACGUG
RNAcentral lists this ribosomal RNA (495 nucleotides) under uncultured bacterium. RNAcentral's name for it is "partial 16S ribosomal RNA". It matches the Rfam family "Bacterial small subunit ribosomal RNA", at positions 32 to 507 of the family's 1533-position model. The record is from RNAcentral.